UCGUAACAAGGUUUCCGUAGGUGAACCUGCGGAAGGAUCAUUACAUUUAGGCCUGCGCAGCGAUGCGCGGGUUUUUCUACACCAUUGGUUACUUAGCUAAUUUGUUUUGGAGGUAAAACUCCAAAAGUUAAACAAAAAUAAUUUUUUUAAAACACACGUCACCACAACUACUAAAUAUCAAAACUUUCAACAACGGAUCUCUUGGUUCUCGCAACGAUGAAGAACGCAGCGAAUUGCGAUACGUAUUGUGAAUUGCAGAUUUUCGUGAAUCAUCGAAUCUUUGAACGCACAUUGCGCCCUGUGGUAUUCCACAGGGCAUGCCUGUUUGAGCGUCAUUUCCCUCUUAAACUGCAAGGUUUAGUGUUGGGCCAGGCUGCGGCCGGCCUGAAAUAGCGAGGGGUGUGUAUAUAUAUCUCUGAGAUAAUGUCUAGGUUCUGCCAACUCAUUACGAAGAGAGACAAUACGUCUGAGCACCUUUUACUAAAUUACCAAAAUUGACCUCAAAUCAGGUAGGACUACCCGCUGAACUUAAGCA
This 535-nucleotide unclassified non-coding RNA is filed under the name Komagataea pratensis. RNAcentral describes it as "Barnettozyma pratensis sequence contains 18S rRNA gene, ITS1, 5.8S rRNA gene, ITS2, 28S rRNA gene". The stretch from base 182 to 335 matches the Rfam family "5.8S ribosomal RNA". The record is from RNAcentral. Lineage: Eukaryota; Fungi; Ascomycota; Saccharomycetes; Phaffomycetales; Wickerhamomycetaceae.